UGGAUCACCUCCUAACAGGGAGACAAACAACGAUUUUGAUGUCUGAGUUUAUUUAUUCUUAGGCCAAAAUCCUGUCACCUUAGGUCGAUCGGUACCUCAACUUUGAAGCUGAGAGUGUCCAGCAAUGGAUCUCUGCUUAGUGGAGAUUUUUAGUUCCUAAACUUUGUCUAGUUCACAACCCAUUAGGGAUGAGACUCCUGGGCCAUUAGCUCAGGUGGUUAGAGCGCACCCCUGAUAAGGGUGAGGUCCCUGGUUCAAGUCCAGGAUGGCCCAUUCGGUGUAGGGGGUUUAGCUCAGUUGGUAGAGCGCCUGCUUUGCAAGCAGGAUGUCAGGAGUUCGAGUCUCCUAACCUCCACUGACUACCAAGAAUCCCCAUCUCCAAAGUCUGGAGUAUGAACUCGUAUGGAUUGUGAUUUAGAUGUGUCCGCUAGAUGACCCUAGCUUCUUGUCAUUUUAAGGCAUGGAAAAGAUUCCAUGAUAUUUAAUUGAUAGGAUGCUGGGCUCGAUGCAAUGUAUUGAGAGAUCAAUGCAUUGUUUUGAUGUCUGGUCGAACCUUGACAACUGCAUAGUAAGUCUGGAAAGAAUAAAGCAUCUUUAUGGAUGCAUCAUUCUUGAGUGUUAAUUCACGAUGGGAUGGUGUUAAUUCUAAAGCAAGAGCCGAGACUCCAGCAUGUUCUUUCAAAUGUGUCGAGCAUUUGAGAGUUUGAUUUUAAUUUCUAUUUUUUAGAAGUUAGAAGAAUCUGUUUCAACGACAGCAAGCGUGUUGGAGAUACAUUGGUCAAGCUACAAAGGGCUCACGGCGGAUACCUUGGCACACAGAGGCGAUGAAGG
This 831-nucleotide transfer RNA is filed under the name uncultured Synechococcus sp. RNAcentral describes it as "partial contains 16S ribosomal RNA, 16S-23S ribosomal RNA intergenic spacer, and 23S ribosomal RNA". The stretch from base 283 to 355 matches the Rfam family "tRNA". Lineage: Bacteria; Bacillati; Cyanobacteriota; Cyanophyceae; Synechococcales; Synechococcaceae. The record is from RNAcentral.